This 1380-nucleotide ribosomal RNA is filed under the name uncultured bacterium. RNAcentral describes it as "16S ribosomal RNA". It matches the Rfam family "Bacterial small subunit ribosomal RNA". The record is from RNAcentral.
UUAGAGUUUGAUCCUGGCUCAGGAUGACUUUUGGCGGCGCAUUUAAGACAUGCAAGUCGAACGGAGAAAUAUUGAAGUGUUUACACAGAGAUAUUUUUUAGUGGCGGACGGGUGAGUAAUACAUAGGUAACCUGCCUUAGAGCGGGAAAUAACUAAAAGAAAUUUUAGCUAAUGUCCCAUAAGACCACACUACCACAUGGUAGAGAGGUAAAAGGAGAAAUCCACUUUAAGAUGGACCUAUGGCUGAUUAGUUAGUUGGAGUGGUAACGGCACACCAAGGCGAUGAUCAGUAGCCGGGCUGAGAGGCUGGCCGGCCACAUUGGGACUGAGACACGGCCCAGACUCCUACGGGAGGCGGCAGUUGGGAAUAUUGGACAAUGGGGGAAACCCUGAUCCAGUGACGCCGCGUGAAGGAAGAAGGUCUUCGGAUUGUAAACUUAUUUUGUCAGGGAAGAAAAAAAUGACAGUACCUGAAGAAGAAGCACCGGCAAACUAUGUGCCAGCAGCCGCGGUAAUACAUAGGGUGCAAGCGUUAUCCGGAUUUACUGGGUGUAAAGGGCGAGUAGACGGUAAUGUAAGUCAGUUGUGAAAACUUGGGGCUCAACCCCAAGACUGCAACUGAAACUACAUAACUAGAGUGCAGGAGAGGAAAGUGGAAUUCCUAGUGUAGCGGUGAAAUGCGUAGAUAUUAGGAGGAACACCAGUGGCGAAGGCGACUUUCUGGACUGUAACUGACGUUGAGGCGCGAAAGUGUGGGGAGCAAACAGGAUUAGAUACCCUGGUAGUCCACACUGUAAACGAUGGAUACUAGGUGUAGGCAUGCAAGUGUCUGUGCCGGCGCAAACGCAAUAAGUAUCCCACCUGGGGAGUACGACCGCAAGGUUAAAACUCAAAGGAAUUGACGGGGGCCCGCACAAGCAGUGGAGUAUGUGGUUUAAUUCGACGCAACGCGAAGAACCUUACCAAGACUUGACAUGCAAAUGAGUAUCUAAGAAAUUAGAUAGGCCUUCGGGACAUUUGUGCAGGUGAUGCAUGGUUGUCGUCAGCUCGUGUCGUGAGAUGUUGGGUUAAGUCCCGCAACGAGCGCAACCCUCGUGGUUAGUUGCCUUUAAAAGGAACUCUAGCCAGACUGCCGUAGUUAAUACGGAGGAAGGAGAGGAUGAUGUCAAAUCAUCACGUCCCUUAUGUCUUGGGCUACACACGUACUACAAUGGCUAUUACAGAAAGAAGCAAAUACGCAAGUAGGAGCAAAACUAAGAAAAAUAGCCCUAGUUCGGAUUGGAGGCUGCAACUCGCCUCCAUGAAGCUGGAAUUGCUAGUAAUCACAGGUCAGCAUACUGUGGUGAAUACGUUCCCGGGCCUUGCACUCACCGCCCGUCA